RNAcentral lists this ribosomal RNA (1488 nucleotides) under uncultured prokaryote. RNAcentral describes it as "partial 16S ribosomal RNA". It matches the Rfam family "Bacterial small subunit ribosomal RNA". The record is from RNAcentral.
UGAGUUUGAUCAUGGCUCAGGAUGAACGCUAGCGGGAGGCCUAACACAUGCAAGGGGGUAACAUUGGAGCUUGCUCCAGAUGACGACCGGCGCACGGGUGAGUAACGCGUAUGCAACCUACCUCAAACAGGGGAAUAGCUCAGGGAAACCUGGAUUAAUGCCCCAUAAUAUUUAGAUUUGGCAUCAGAUUUAAAUUAAAACUCCGGUGGUUUGAGAUGGGCAUGCGUGACAUUAGCUAGUUGGUAAGGUAAUGGCUUACCAAGGCUACGAUGUCUAGGGGUUCUGAGAGGAUGAUCCCCCACACUGGUACUGAGACACGGACCAGACUCCUACGGGAGGCAGCAGUGAGGAAUAUUGGUCAAUGGGCGCAAGCCUGAACCAGCCAUCCCGCGUGUAGGAAGACUGCCCUAUGGGUUGUAGACUACUUUUAUAAAGGAAGAAACCCUUCUACGUGUAGAAGGCUGACUGUACUUUACGAAUAAGCACCGGCUAACUCCGUGCCAGCAGCCGCGGUAAUACGGAGGGUGCUAGCGUUAUCCGGAUUUAUUGGGUUUAAAGGGUGCGUAGGCGGGACAAUAAGUCAGUGGUGAAAUCUUACAGCUUAACUGUGAAAUUGCCAUUGAUACUGUUGUUCUUGAAUAUAGUUGAGGUAGGCGGAAUGUGUAGUGUAGCGGUGAAAUGCAUAGAUAUUACACAGAACACCGAUUGCGAAGGCAGCUUACUAAGCUAUUAUUGACGCUGAGGCACGAAAGCGUGGGGAGCGAACAGGAUUAGAUACCCUGGUAGUCCACGCCGUAAACGAUGAUCACUCGCUGUCUGCGAUACACAGUAGGCGGCUAAGCGAAAGCAUUAAGUGAACCACCUGGGGAGUACGAUCGCAAGGUUGAAACUCACAGGAAUUGACGGGGGCCCGCACAAGCGGAGGAACAUGUGGUUUAAUUCGAUGAUACGCGAGGAACCUUACCUGGGCUUAAAUGUAGUAUGACCGUACCCGAAAGGGUAUUUCUCCGGGGCUAUUUACAAGGUGCGGCAUGGCUGUCGUCAGCUCGUGCCGUGAGGUGUCGGGUUAAGUCCCAUAACGAGCGCAACCCCUAUCGUUAGUUGCCAGCGGGUCAUGCCGGGGACUCUAGCGAGACUGCCACCGUAAGGUGAGAGGAAGGUGGGGAUGACGUCAAAUCCUCAUGGCCCUUAUGGGUAGGGCUUCACACGUAAUACAAUGGCGCGUACAGAGGGUUGCCAAGCCGCGAGGUGGAGCUAAUCCCAGAAAGCGCGUCGUAGUCCGGAUUGCACUCCGCAACUCGAGUGCAUGAAGUCGGAAUCGCUAGUAAUCGCGGAUCAGAAUGUCGCGGUGAAUACGUUCCCGGGUCUUGUACACACCGCCCGUCACACCAUGGGAGUGGACUCUGCCAGAAGUAGGUAGCCUAACCGCAAGGAGGGCGAUUACCACGGUGGGUUUCAUGACUGGGGUGAAGUCGUAAUCAAGGUACC